Molecule: ribosomal RNA, 549 nt
Filed under: Clostridium perfringens
Lineage: Bacteria; Bacillati; Bacillota; Clostridia; Eubacteriales; Clostridiaceae
Description: partial 23S ribosomal RNA
Rfam family: Bacterial large subunit ribosomal RNA
Source: RNAcentral
CCACGCUGCCAAGAAAAGCGUCUAGAGAGAGAAGUAGUGCCCGUACCGCAAACCGACACAGGUAGGUGAGGAGAGAAUCCUAAGGCCGGCGGAAGAAUUACAGUUAAGGAACUCGGCAAAUUGACCCCGUAAGUUCGCGAGAAGGGGUGCCUACGAGAGUAGGCCGCAGAGAAUAGGCCCAAGCAACUGUUUAGCAAAAACACAGGUCUCUGCUAAAGCGUAAGCUGAUGUAUAGGGGCUGACGCCUGCCCGGUGCUGGAAGGUUAAGGGGAACACUUAGCGCAAGCGAAGGUGUGAACUUAAGCCCCAGUAAACGGCGGCCGUAACUAUAACGGUCCUAAGGUAGCGAAAUUCCUUGUCAGGUAAGUUCUGACCCGCACGAAUGGCGUAAUGACUUGGGCACUGUCUCAACUGUAAAUCCGGCGAAGUUGUAGUGCGAGUGAAGAUGCUCGCUACCCGCGAUUGGACGGAAAGACCCCGUAGAGCUUUACUGUAGCUUAGCAUUGAGUUUUGGUAUUGUCUGUACAGGAUAGGUGGGAGACUAGGAAA